RNAcentral lists this ribosomal RNA (579 nucleotides) under uncultured bacterium. RNAcentral describes it as "bacterial SSU rRNA". It matches the Rfam family "Bacterial small subunit ribosomal RNA", at positions 331 to 929 of the family's 1533-position model. The record is from RNAcentral.
CCAGACUCCUACGGGAGGCAGCAGUGGGGAAUAUUGGACAAUGGAGGAAACUCUGAUCCAGCAAUUCUGUGUGCACGAUGAAGUUUUUCGGAAUGUAAAGUGCUUUCAGUUGGGAAGAAAUAAAUGACGGUACCAACAGAAGAAGUGACGGCUAAAUACGUGCCAGCAGCCGCGGUAAUACGUAUGUCACGAGCGUUAUCCGGAUUUAUUGGGCGUAAAGCGCGUCUAGGUGGUUAUAUAAGUCUGAUGUGAAAAUGCAGAGCUCAACUCUGUAUUGCGUUGGAAACUGUAUAACUAGAGUACUGGAGAGGUAAGCGGAACUACAAGUGUAGAGGUGAAAUUCGUAGAUAUUUGUAGGAAUGCCGAUGGGGAAGCCAGCUUACUGGACAGAUACUGACGCUAAAGCGCGAAAGCGUGGGUAGCAAACAGGAUUAGAUACCCUGGUAGUCCACGCUGUAAACGAUGAUUACUAGGUGUUGGGGGUCGAACCUCAGCGCCCAAGCAAACGCGAUAAGUAAUCCGCCUGGGGAGUACGUACGCAAGUAUGAAACUCAAGGAAUUGACGGGGGCCCGCACAAG